RNAcentral lists this ribosomal RNA (468 nucleotides) under uncultured bacterium. RNAcentral describes it as "partial 16S ribosomal RNA". It matches the Rfam family "Bacterial small subunit ribosomal RNA", at positions 28 to 507 of the family's 1533-position model. The record is from RNAcentral.
GACGAACGCUGGCGGCGUGCUUAACACAUGCAAGUCGAACGGAAAGGCCCUGCUUUUGUGGGGUGCUCGAGUGGCGAACGGGUGAGUAACACGUGAGUAACCUGCCCUUGACUUUGGGAUAACUUCAGGAAACUGGGGCUAAUACCGGAUAGGAGCUCCUGCUGCAUGGUGGGGGUUGGAAAGUUUCGGCGGUUGGGGAUGGACUCGCGGCUUAUCAGCUUGUUGGUGGGGUAGUGGCUUACCAAGGCUUUGACGGGUAGCCGGCCUGAGAGGGUGACCGGGCAAAUUGGGAAUGGGAAUAGGCCCCAAACCCUAAGGGAGGGAGGAGGGGGGAAAAUUGGCACAUGGGCGGAAGGCUGAAGGAGGAACGCCGGGGGGGGGAAGAAGGCCUUUGGGGUGGAAACCGGUUUUGGCUGGGAAGAAGGGGGAGGGACGGUAAUGGGUAAAGAAGCAACGGCUUAACAAGUG